GACGAACCGUGCGAACGUUAUUCGGAAUCACUGGGCUUAAAGGGAGCGCAGGCGGGCUGGUAAGUCAGUGGUGAAAGCCUUGAGCUUAACUCGAGAACUGCCAUUGAUACUAUCAGUCUUGAAUAUUGUUGAGGUUUGCGGAAUGGGUCAUGUAGCGGUGAAAUGCAUAGAUAUGACCCGGAACACCUAUUGCGAAGGCAGCAGGCUAAACAAAGAUUGACGCUGAGGCUCGAAAGCGUGGGGAUCAAACAGG
This 253-nucleotide ribosomal RNA is filed under the name uncultured bacterium. RNAcentral describes it as "partial 16S ribosomal RNA". It matches the Rfam family "Bacterial small subunit ribosomal RNA", at positions 524 to 776 of the family's 1533-position model. The record is from RNAcentral.